Molecule: long non-coding RNA, 553 nt
Filed under: Oryctolagus cuniculus (rabbit)
Lineage: Eukaryota; Metazoa; Chordata; Mammalia; Lagomorpha; Leporidae
Description: lncRNA (ENSOCUG00000012786.3)
Source: RNAcentral
CGUCCUCGGACCUGCGGGUCUCCGAGCGGGCUCCUGGUCGCCCACCCCGGGGCGCCGGCCCCCGCUCUCCGCCUGCUCCCGUGGCCAUUGCGCCCGCUCUGGAGUAACACGUAUGCUACUUCGGGCGACUGUUGUCUUUGCAGGCCAGAGCCAUGUGGUUGUGCAGAAGUGCUGCGCCUUCCACGCCGCGGGUGUCGGGCUUUUUAGUAAGAUAGACCGGGCAGAACCGCCCCAACUCCACCAGGACGCGUGCGUCCCCUGCUCGGUCCUCCCCGCUCCGUUCCUCCUCUCUCCAGGAGGCGUUUGCCUGAGUUUACCCCUUAGAGCUCACGUUCCUGCCUGCUUUACUCCACCCCAGCUGGGCUUUCCCCAAUUGGCAGAUUGCUACUCUGGCUUUACUCUUGGGUGGUGCUGCCAUCAUUCUCAUUGCAUUCCUGGUGGGUUUGAUUUCUAUCUGCGUGGGAUCUCGAAGACGCUUCUACAGACCUGUUGCUGUCAUGCUUUUUGCAGCAGUUGUUUUACAGGUUUGCAGAGUGUGAGGAAGGAGAUGUAG